Molecule: transfer RNA, 77 nt
Filed under: Novosphingobium mangrovi
Lineage: Bacteria; Pseudomonadati; Pseudomonadota; Alphaproteobacteria; Sphingomonadales; Sphingomonadaceae
Description: tRNA-Arg
Rfam family: tRNA
About the family: Transfer RNA (tRNA) molecules are approximately 80 nucleotides in length.
Source: RNAcentral
GCGCCCAUAGCUCAGCCGGAUAGAGCACCAGAUUCCUAAUCUGGGGGCCGUGAGUUCGAAUCUCGCUGGGCGCACCA